UCCAUCUCUACUCUCUCUGCUUUUACAUACGCUAUCCUUUGUGCCUUGGAUAUACUCCUGUUAGCAAAGAGCUUUGACCCAUGUUACCUCAUUUGGUGCCCAUGACAAUCCUGUGAGGUAGGUGCUAUUACUACCCUCAUUUUAUACAUGAGGAAAGUGAAGCAAAGAGAGGUAAAAUGAGUUGUCUAGGGUCACCCAGCUGGUUAAGUGUUUGAGAGAAUUCCAACUCAGCUCUUUCCAGUUCCAAGUCAAGUACCCCACCCACCUAGCUGCCUCAGGAAGUGACGGCCAUAUAGCAGUGACCGAUUUAGUGCUCUGAGACAUAGUGGAAAGAGGCUAAUCUUGGAGUCAGGAAGUCCUGGGUUAAAGUAUGCCUCUGAUGUAUUAGCUGUGAUUAUGGGUAAAUCACUUAAUCUCUCUGUGGUGGAGACAACUUUCUAAGAACACAAAUUGCCAAAUUUAUUGAUCAGCACUAGUGGAGGGAAUUUACCCACCUGGAGUUCCAUAUAAUAAUGAAAUAACAGGUCCAGAGUAAAACAGUCUUUCUGUACCCCAACCGGUAAGCCUUCAGGUCAUAUUUUCUAGCAUAUUUUUGGCCAACGCAACCCGAUGUCUACUUCUGUAGUGAAGUCACUGAGCAUCAAA
This is a non-coding RNA of Phascolarctos cinereus (koala), 645 nucleotides long. The record is from RefSeq and is a predicted model, not a curated record. NCBI's taxonomy places the organism in Eukaryota, Metazoa, Chordata, Mammalia, Diprotodontia, Phascolarctidae.